CCUGGCGGCCUUAGCGCGGUGGUCCCACCUGACCCCAUGCCGAACUCAGAAGUGAAACGCCGUAGCGCCGAUGGUAGUGUGGGGUCUCCCCAUGCGAGAGUAUUUUUGCGUUGG
RNAcentral lists this ribosomal RNA (114 nucleotides) under Escherichia coli. Lineage: Bacteria; Pseudomonadati; Pseudomonadota; Gammaproteobacteria; Enterobacterales; Enterobacteriaceae. The record is from RNAcentral.